CAAGUCGAGCGGCAGCGGGAAGUAGUUUACUACUUUGCCGGCGAGCGGCGGACGGGUGAGUAAUGUCUGGGAAACUGCCUGAUGGAGGGGGAUAACUACUGGAAACGGUAGCUAAUACCGCAUAACGUCUACGGACCAAAGUGGGGGACCUUCGGGCCUCACGCCAUCGGAUGUGCCCAGAUGGGAUUAGCUAGUAGGUGGGGUAAUGGCUCACCUAGGCGACGAUCCCUAGCUGGUCUGAGAGGAUGACCAGCCACACUGGAACUGAGACACGGUCCAGACUCCUACGGGAGGCAGCAGUGGGGAAUAUUGCACAAUGGGCGCAAGCCUGAUGCAGCCAUGCCGCGUGUGUGAAGAAGGCCUUCGGGUUGUAAAGCACUUUCAGCGAGGAGGAAGGCAUAAAGGUUAAU
This 410-nucleotide ribosomal RNA is filed under the name Yersinia enterocolitica. Its description in RNAcentral is "bacterial SSU rRNA". It matches the Rfam family "Bacterial small subunit ribosomal RNA", at positions 58 to 464 of the family's 1533-position model. Lineage: Bacteria; Pseudomonadati; Pseudomonadota; Gammaproteobacteria; Enterobacterales; Yersiniaceae. The record is from RNAcentral.